Non-coding RNA from Biomphalaria pfeifferi, 983 nucleotides. NCBI's taxonomy places the organism in Eukaryota, Metazoa, Mollusca, Gastropoda, Planorbidae. The record is from the annotation of a GenBank genome assembly.
CUGAUGAAGUACAAAAUGUUUUGUUAAUUUCAUUAAAAAGUUUAUAUUUUAGUUUCAGUUAUACUGUUAAUGUAGUAAAUAAUUAAUGUAUUUUUUUCUUCUCCAGAUUGUUUUGUUUCAGUUAUUAAUUAAGUUAAGCACUUUAAAAAAAAAAGUUUUUUAAGGUUUCAAAUAUAUACUGUAUUUUUGCACGUGACCCACACAUGCAUAUAACCCGCACAGCCCUAAACCCUAACCCUACCCCACACAAAUUACAAAAUAAGUAAAAACAAGUGCAACUUGCUGUAAACGUGUCACAAUUAAUUACCAGUAAAUUAAAGAUUCUUUGCCACAUUAAUACUUUUUUGUUUUCUUGAGGUUUAUACUGAGAUGUUCAUAAAACUUUCCAAUGUACAUUUCACAACCACAGUUACCACACAGCGAACUAUGAGAAGUAUGAAAGACCCACCAGUAUGUCUAUAAUUUCCAUUAUGCUAUGUUUAAGAGUAAAAUAAAUGUUGUAAAUUCCAUACUGUUGCAUACACCAUACAGCUGCCAUUCUUUGUCAAAUUUGUAUAACCCAAGGGUUAUAUGAACAAAAAUAGGGUAUGCACUAUUAAUCACAGGGAGUAUGAAAACUCUCGAUGUCAUUAUUGAAUUUAAUAAAAAUUUACUGCUAAGUUUUUUUUCCAUGCUUAUUUUUUGGUUGAUUUCUGUGCAAUAGUUUUAUGUAGAUAUAAAGAAUCUAUUUUGAGCUUAAAACACUGCUUUUAAAGAGCAAGAAAAUAGUAUUUCUAUAGUCAGGCAAUAAGUAUAAUUUAUAUCAGUUACUUAAAUAUAAAAGAAACUAGCUGUUGACAUGUACACUAGUACUCUGAAGCUUCUCUUUGUUAGAUGGUAUAGAUUUACUAGUUAUUCCAGUUGUGCUUCAAUACAAAUAAAUUUUACUGAUAGUUUGGUCACACAAUACAAGCAUGGCUCUCUGUUCGUUUUUGAUAUUUUGG